This is a long non-coding RNA of Sinocyclocheilus rhinocerous, 317 nucleotides long. RefSeq lists it as uncharacterized. The record is from RefSeq and is a predicted model, not a curated record. The transcript is spliced from 2 exons. NCBI's taxonomy places the organism in Eukaryota, Metazoa, Chordata, Actinopteri, Cypriniformes, Cyprinidae.
UCAAAUUCCACAGCAUGCCCUUUUUAAACAGCCCUGAAUAGCCAACUUCCUGUUGGGCCGAGCCUAUGACAUGCAGCGCAAAAGUUGUUCGGCUCAAUGAGAUCUAUAUGUGUACCAAGUUUCAUAUGAAUGUGUGCAAGCAUGUGUGAGCUAUACAUCAAGAUUUCAGACUGUGUUCCAGGGGGCGCCGUAGAGCCCCUGUGCCACGCCCAGGUCCCAGCCUCUGCGGCGUCCUAAUGGCCGCAGGUUCCAACGCGUGUGCAAAUUUUCAAGAGUUUUUGAAUAUGUUAAGGCCCCCAAAAAGCCCCGGAAGGUUG